UCUCCCUCUCCCUCUCCCUCCCCCUCCCCCUUAUCAGCUUGAAUUGUUGAUUUUGAUUAAUUGUUGAUUUUGAUUAUGUAUGAAUUGUCGAUAUUACGAAUUUAUGUGUUUGUAUAUUUGCUUUAUUGAGUUUUGAUUGUUUUUUUGAGGUGGAUUAUGAAUUGUUGCUUUUUGUUUGGUAAUUAGUAGUGUAAUUAUGGGAUAAAGUCCUUUCCUCAGCUUCUGCUUGUAACAAGAAGAGUGCCUUCCCAUAUGGAAGGCAGCAAUAAAAAUUUUAAGCAGUGUGUGUGUUUAUAAACAAUUGAUUAGUGAAGACUGAGAGAGUUUAGAAAAUGAAAUGGAGAGGUGAUGGGUAAGUGAAUCAAAUUAAUAGCAAGGAUUAACUCAACAAUUAAUAUAACAUUGACACGCGACAAAAACUCUACUUUACCACCGAUGAUAGCUGCAAUGGAAGUAUUCACAAAAUGGGCUACACAUGUGAAGCAGAAGUACGCAGCUCCGUCAUCUGGAGCUGCUGGGGGAUUUAUAUCAUUGGCAUUUUCACUGAUGAUUCCUUUUGUGUUUGUAUUGGUAGCAUGAAAGUGGUAAGAGACAUUUUGAAGCACAGUGUAAUCAUCGUAAAUUAUAAUAAAAGGUCACAUUCCUAUGAUAAGUUAAACCUGUAAAGGAAAAUUUCAUCUGAAAAUGAUAAUCCAAAUUGAAAUGUAUACUAAAUUUGGUAAUUUGUUUAUGUUCUUUUUGUAGAGGACAAACUGAAAUAUAAGCUACGAAACUUGAGAUUAAAGUAGGCAUGUUAACGUGGUAGAAAAAGUUGCUCAUACUGACUUGUAAUUAUGGUGUUGGUUAAUGACAUCUUUUCGUUAUUUUUGCUUGCGUCUUUUUGUUCAAAAAAUGAUCCCAAGUUUUGUUUGCGUCGUAACUGGCCAGUACUGUCGUAGUGCUGCCAGGAAUCUUGUUAAUGUACUGGAGCUUCAUUUUGAGAUCUCCUAGCUCAUAAAUACUAUACAUUGUUCUAAUAGAGAACUUGCUCUGAUGUUCCCUGCUUAAAUGAUUUUGACUUUAUUUAACAAAGGUUCUAUGUACUUUGUACAUGUAUAUUAAUAUCAGAAAAGCGCUCUUCUUUUGUGUAUAAAAUAUAAAGAAGUUAUCCUGAAUUCCCUAUUACAGCGGAAAUGGUUUGCUCUUGUAUGAUAAUGGUUUACUCUUCUUUAAUAUGCAUUAGAAUUUCAAUAAAAAAUGGGUUCUGCUUAUUGUGAAUAUGGUGAUUAGUCUGCCAAAUCGUAAUGCAAGUGUUGGAGCUGGACUAUUCUGUCUGGAAUCUUUUCUCAGAAUUGGGUUAUUCAGGGGGUUGCGCGGAAUGCACUGCUUAAGUUAAUUCAUGAAAAUUCCUCUUCCAUGCGCAGCAAUCUGUAUGGCAGGUAGAUAAUUGCAUGUCUGGAGAAGACAAAGAAUAACGCGAUGUGGACAUUGAACUGUUGAAGGAGUCUCCAGAUUAGUUGUGCUGAUGAAAAAUCUGAAAAUAACUUUGAUGUUCUGUUGUUUUUACAUGGUCAAGUAGCGAAACUUUGGUGUGUAGUUGAAAUAGGUGCCUUGUAUUAGUAUCGUAAACUUUGAUGGGUGCUUCUAUGAGACUUGUCAAUUUUUAUUUUAUACUUAUUUUGAUGAAGUUCAAUUUAAAAUUU
Daucus carota subsp. sativus is the source of this 1682-nucleotide long non-coding RNA. RefSeq lists it as uncharacterized. NCBI's taxonomy places the organism in Eukaryota, Viridiplantae, Streptophyta, Magnoliopsida, Apiales, Apiaceae. The record is from RefSeq and is a predicted model, not a curated record. The transcript is spliced from 2 exons.